RNAcentral lists this ribosomal RNA (469 nucleotides) under uncultured bacterium. RNAcentral's name for it is "partial 16S ribosomal RNA". It matches the Rfam family "Bacterial small subunit ribosomal RNA", at positions 28 to 507 of the family's 1533-position model. The record is from RNAcentral.
GAUGAACGCUGGCGGCGUGCUUAACACAUGCAAGUCGAACGGUGAACACGGAGCUUGCUCUGUGGGAUCAGUGGCGAACGGGUGAGUAACACGUGAGCAACCUGCCCCUGACUCUGGGAUAAGCGCUGGAAACGGCGUCUAAUACUGGAUAUGUGACGUGACCGCAUGGUCUGCGUUUGGAAAGAUUUUUCGGUUGGGGAUGGGCUCGCGGCCUAUCAGCUUGUUGGUGAGGUAAUGGCUCACCAAGGCGUCGACGGGUAGCCGGCCUGAGAGGGUGACCGGCCACACUGGGACUGAGACACGGCCCAGACUCCUACGGGAGGCAGCAGUGGGGAAUAUUGCACAAUGGGCGCAAGCCUGAUGCAGCAACGCCGCGUGAGGGAUGACGGCCUUCGGGUUGUAAACCUCCUUUAGCAGGGAAGAAGCGAAAGUGACGGUACCUGCAGAAAAAGCGCCGGCUAACUACGUG